CACCUAGGGACAUCUUACAGUAUUGACCCUGAAAACCUCCGGGAAACCUUCACUUACUGGAAGGAGAGAAUGGCCCUAGCUUCAAGAGGGAGAGAAACGCACAAAGAACUUCUCAUGGUGUUAUGCCUGCUUCUGGCUGCUUCCGCUGACUCAUGCUGAUUCAGCAGAGCCUUGCUGUUUCUGCUGGAUCGUCCUGCAGCUUCCGAUUCAUGUUUGGUGUUUGCUAUUGACCUGCACUGCUGGUACCCUGACUACUCUACUAAGAGAGACUUCUAAACAGCCUGCAGUUCGGGCCCCACUGCGAGCCAGGCCAGGCCCCGAGGCAGCC
Long non-coding RNA from Mus musculus (house mouse), 328 nucleotides. RefSeq annotates it as predicted gene, 46538. The record is from RefSeq and is a predicted model, not a curated record. NCBI's taxonomy places the organism in Eukaryota, Metazoa, Chordata, Mammalia, Rodentia, Muridae. The transcript is spliced from 3 exons.